RNAcentral lists this ribosomal RNA (253 nucleotides) under uncultured bacterium. RNAcentral describes it as "partial 16S ribosomal RNA". It matches the Rfam family "Bacterial small subunit ribosomal RNA", at positions 524 to 776 of the family's 1533-position model. The record is from RNAcentral.
UACGGAGGGUGCAAGCGUUAUCCGGAUUUACUGGGUUUAAAGGGUGCGUAGGCGGGCUUUUAAGUCAGUGGUGAAAUCUCCGAGCUUAACUCGGGAAUUGCCAUUGAUACUAUUAGUCUUGAAUUAAGUUGAGGUGGGCGGAAUGUGUCAUGUAGCGGUGAAAUGCUUAGAUAUGACACAGAACACCGAUUGCGAAGGCAGCUCGCUAAACUUAUAUUGACGCUGAGGCACGAAAGCGUGGGGAGCGAACAGG